UACGGGGGGGGCAAGCGUUGUUCGGAAUUACUGGGCGUAAAGCGUGUGUAGGCGGCCAUAUAAGUCGGAUGUGAAAGCCCUGGGCUCAACCCAGGAAGUGCACUCGAUACUGUAUGGCUUGAGUAUCGGAGAGGUUGGUGGAAUUCUCGGUGUAGAGGUGAAAUUCGUAGAUAUCGAGAGGAACACCGGUGGCGAAGGCGGCCAACUGGACGAAUACUGACGCUGAGACACGAAAGCGUGGGGAGCAAACCGG
RNAcentral lists this ribosomal RNA (253 nucleotides) under uncultured bacterium. RNAcentral describes it as "partial 16S ribosomal RNA". It matches the Rfam family "Bacterial small subunit ribosomal RNA", at positions 524 to 776 of the family's 1533-position model. The record is from RNAcentral.